Molecule: long non-coding RNA, 787 nt
Filed under: Capsella grandiflora
Lineage: Eukaryota; Viridiplantae; Streptophyta; Magnoliopsida; Brassicales; Brassicaceae
Description: long non-coding RNA (CGRA_LNC001557)
Source: RNAcentral
CCCAUGAGGUACGACCUGAGCACAAAGUCAAGCCUGACACUAAACUGCAGUACAUGUCGGGUGUAUCAGAAAAUCCUGAGCACAAAGUCAAGUCUGACCUUGAACUUCAGUUGAUGUCCGGUGUAUCAGAACAUCCCGAGCACAAGGUCAAGCCUGACCAUAAACUGCAAUCCAUGUCCGGUGAAUUAGAACAUCCUGAGCACAAGGUCAAGCCUGACCAUAAACUGCAGUCCAUGCCUGGUGAACCUAAUGAACCAGAUGAUCCUGACCACACAGUUAAGCCUGAUCAGAUAAUGCAGACCAUGGUGAAUGAACCGGAUCCUGACCACACAGUUAAGCCUAAUCAGAUAAUGCAGACCAUGGCGAGUGGACUAGAAGAUCCUGACCACACUGUAAAGCCUAUGGGGUAUGGUGUAGGUAGGGGUUAUGGAAGUGGUGGCUCUGGUGUUGGGUAUGGUGUUGGUUAUGGCAGUGGAGGCAGUGGCUUUGGGGAAGGAAUUGGCUCUAGUGGAGGCAGUGGCUUUGGAGAAGGAAUUGGCUCUAGUGGAGGCAGCGGCUUUGGUGAAGGAAUUGGGUAUGGUGGUGGUUCAGGUAUUGGCAUUGGAGAAGGAAUAGGAUCUGGGUCUGCCCAACCCAAUUGUGGUCCUAUAACGGGAGCUCCAGGUAGCGGAUUUGGUGAAGGCAUUGGACAAGGUAGUGGUCCAGGCGAAGGGAUUGGUAUCGGUAUUGGACAGGGCUCUAGUGGUGGACCAAGUGUAGUUGUCCCAGGCACAACAAUCCCUCCCAU